Non-coding RNA from Heterocephalus glaber (naked mole-rat), 1045 nucleotides. NCBI's taxonomy places the organism in Eukaryota, Metazoa, Chordata, Mammalia, Rodentia, Bathyergidae. The record is from RefSeq and is a predicted model, not a curated record.
UCAAACACAUCUGCAAAGAAAUGCCUGUUUGCGGGUUCCCGUCGGCGUCCAGUUCAAAUCCGCGGCACCCGGCGCGCGGGGCGCGGGGCCGGGCGGGGGCAGGAAGCGAGGAUGAUUCAUGCGCCAGGGCCUCUCCCAGGGCGGCCGUUGGCUUUUAAAAAAGUGUCUGGGAGGGGGAAAAAAGGCUUGCAGAAUUGCCCCCUUCGGGCUCCAGCGCUCCUCUCCUCCGUCGCUCCGACGCCCGACCUCCCCAGUCCCAGCCCGUCGCAGCCUGACUUCGGACGGUGACAGCUGUCCUGGACAGAACAAUGGCUUGUCCCACACCCCUGCUGCAGCCCAGCACUCAGCAAGGAUGGAGGAAGAUGUCAUGUGCUAGGGCACCAGUUCAGAAGCAGAAGCCACCUGGACUUGAUGGACCAGACUUUCGCUUGUCAAGGGGAAGCACGCUGGGCUCUUUUGUGAACUUCCUUCAAAACAGGACCAGAGUCCCUGCUGUCAUCCUGAACAGCACUGCUAUUUCUGCCAGGACAGGUCCCACACAGCUCCCUGAGCAGAAAAGGAGACACACGAGUGACUAUACCUGGAAUCGUUCUCUGGAUCUUGCGUUUACCAGGCAGGUGCAGUGCCACUGAGCUACAUCCCCAGCCCAAGGGUGACUCUUUAAAUGGAAGAGUUUAACUUCAUAAGAAACUUACUAGAGUUUCCAUACUUUUUAUUGUGGGGUUAUGAACUGGUGGGAGUGGACCAGUUCUGGAUGGCGUGUGCACAGAUACUUGGCUGAGGGUCCUUUCUGCUUGGGAGGGCCAGAGUUCUGAGCUGUGGUACCUGAGGCUGUUUCUGUGGCUCCUUAUACUUCCAAAGAUGGCUCUUUUCCUAGAAGCAUGGCCUGACAGGGAUCUGACAAUGGCCUCUGCCUACAUCGGAAGUUGGCUAAUUUUUUCAGUAAAGGGCCCUGGAGUAAAUAUUUUGGCCUUUGGUGUCUCUGUUGCAAGUAUUUAACUCUGCCAUUGUGGGGAGAAAACAGCCAUAGACAAUACAUAACUGA